ACCAGGCAGCCGAUGUGGCACU
RNAcentral lists this unclassified non-coding RNA (22 nucleotides) under Chlamydomonas reinhardtii. Its description in RNAcentral is "small RNA Cre_0238". Lineage: Eukaryota; Viridiplantae; Chlorophyta; Chlorophyceae; Chlamydomonadales; Chlamydomonadaceae. The record is from RNAcentral.